Molecule: long non-coding RNA, 363 nt
Filed under: Ananas comosus (pineapple)
Lineage: Eukaryota; Viridiplantae; Streptophyta; Magnoliopsida; Poales; Bromeliaceae
Description: long non-coding RNA (ACOM_LNC022304)
Source: RNAcentral
UUUCGAUUUUUUAAUUCUUAGAUCAAUCCCUUUAAUCGUUUCUUAUCUUUGGAUUAAUAUUAUUAUUACCUUGUAGGGACCACUCAAUCCUAAGACAGCGUUUGGUUAGGGGAUAGGGAUAGGAAUAGGCCCUUAUCCCCCCUUUAUACCCAAACGCUAAUUUUUUAUCCGAUAAUAGUAGUUCUCGGUUAUCCUCACCAACACCUCCAAUUUUUAUAUAAAACUAUCUAAAAUUAUUCUUAUCUCCGGGAACAACCCAAUUUUCAUCCAAACACUAUUUUUCUUAUCCCCAUAUUUGUACCUAUCCCUGUAAUAGCUAGUUCUUACUUAUACCCGAACCAAACAGUACCUACGAGUAUUAUU